Molecule: ribosomal RNA, 492 nt
Filed under: uncultured bacterium
Lineage: Bacteria
Description: partial 16S ribosomal RNA
Rfam family: Bacterial small subunit ribosomal RNA
Source: RNAcentral
AGUGAACGCUGGCGGUAGGCCUAACACAUGCAGGUCGAACGGCAGCACAGUAAGAGCUUGCUCUUACGGGUGGCGAGUGGCGGACGGGUGAGGAAUACAUCGGAAUCUACUUUUUCGUGGGGGAUAACGUAGGGAAACUUACGCUAAUACCGCAUACGACCUACGGGUGAAAGCAUGGGAUCUUCGGACCUUGCGCGAUUGAAUGAGCCGAUGUCGGAUUAGCUAGUUGGCGGGGUAAAGGCCCACCAAGGCGACGAUCCGUAGCUGGUCUGAGAGGAUGAUCAGCCACACUGGAACUGAGACACGGUCCAGACUCCUACGGGAGGGCGCAGUGGGGAAUAUUGGACAAUGGGCGCAAGCAUGAUCCAGCCAGACCGCGUGGGUGAAGAAGGCCUUCGGGUUGUAAAGCCCUUUUGUUGGGAAAGAAAAGCAGCAGGUUAAUACCCAGCUGUUCUGACGGUAACCAAAGAAUAAGCACCGGCUAACUUCGUG